UGGUGGAGUGAUUUGUCUGGUUAAUUCCGAUAACGAACGAGACCUUAACCUGCUAAAUAGUCACAUUCAGGUUUACUGGGUGCUUGACUUCUUAGAGGGACUAUAGACGUUUAGUCUAUGGAAGUUUGAGGCAAUAACA
This 139-nucleotide ribosomal RNA is filed under the name uncultured eukaryote. Its description in RNAcentral is "partial 18S ribosomal RNA". It matches the Rfam family "Eukaryotic small subunit ribosomal RNA", at positions 1299 to 1458 of the family's 1831-position model. The record is from RNAcentral.